UACGAAGGGGGCUAGCGUUGCUCGGAAUUACUGGGCGUAAAGCGCACGUAGGCGGCUUCUUAAGUCGGGGGUGAAAUCCUGGAGCUCAACUCCAGAACUGCCUUCGAUACUGGGAGUCUUGAGUUCGGGAGAGGUGAGUGGAACUGCGAGUGUAGAGGUGAAAUUCGUAGAUAUUCGCAAGAACACCAGUGGCGAAGGCGGCUCACUGGCCCGAUACUGACGCUGAGGUGCGAAAGCGUGGGGAGCAAACAGG
Molecule: ribosomal RNA, 253 nt
Filed under: uncultured bacterium
Lineage: Bacteria
Description: partial 16S ribosomal RNA
Rfam family: Bacterial small subunit ribosomal RNA
Source: RNAcentral